This 911-nucleotide ribosomal RNA is filed under the name uncultured bacterium. RNAcentral's name for it is "bacterial SSU rRNA". It matches the Rfam family "Bacterial small subunit ribosomal RNA", at positions 28 to 959 of the family's 1533-position model. The record is from RNAcentral.
GAUGAACGCUGGCGGCGUGCUUAACACAUGCAAGUUGUGCGGUUUUUUGUUUGAAGUUUUCGGACGGAUAGCAGAAGACAGCAGCGGACGGGUGAGUAAUGCACAAGGACUUGUCCUAAAGAGGGGGACAACUGUGGGAAACCACAGCUAAUACCCCGUAAGCCGAGAGGUGAAAGCAGCAAUGCGCUUGAGGAGAGACUUGUGUCCUAUCAGGUAGUUGGUGAGGCAACGGCUCACCAAGCCCAAGACGGGUAGCCGGACUGAGAGGUUGUACGGCCACAUUGGAACUGAGAGACGGUCCAGACUCCUACGGGAGGCAGCAGUGGGGAAUAUUGGGCAAUGGGGGCAACCCUGACCCAGCGACGCCGCGUGAGGGAAGACAGCCUUCGGGUUGUAAACCUCUGUUGCAGGGGAAGAAGAAAGUGACGGUACCCUGCGAGGAAGCUCCGGCAAACUACGUGCCAGCAGCCGCGGUAAUACGUAGGGAGCGAGCGUUGUCCGGAAUUACUGGGCGUAAAGGGCGCGUAGGCCGUGUCAUAAGUCAGUUGUAAAACUUCUGGGCUUAACCCAGAGCGGCACCUGAAACUGUGAUGCUGGAGGCAUGGAGAGGCAGACAGAAUUCCUGGUGUAGCGGUGAAAUGCGUAGAUAUCAGGAAGAAUACCGGUGGCGAAGGCGGUCUGCUGGCCAUGAACUGACGCUGAAGCGCGAAAGCUAGGGGAGCAAACGGGAUUAGAUACCCCGGUAGUCCUAGCAGUAAACGAUGUAUGCUGGGUGUGGGACUAGCGAUAGUUCCGUGCCGAAGUUAACGCGAUAAGCAUACCGCCUGGGGAGUACGGUCGCAAGAUUGAAACUCAAAGGAAUUGACGGGGGCCCGCACAAGCGGUGGAGCACGUGGUUUAAUUCGAUGCAA